This is a small nuclear RNA of Struthio camelus australis, 195 nucleotides long. Its record names the gene U2. It matches the Rfam family "U2 spliceosomal RNA". From Rfam's summary of the family: U2 is a small nuclear RNA (snRNA) component of the spliceosome (involved in pre-mRNA splicing). The record is from Ensembl. NCBI's taxonomy places the organism in Eukaryota, Metazoa, Chordata, Aves, Struthioniformes, Struthionidae.
AUUGCUUGUCAGCCUUUUGGAGAAACUCGAGUAUAGUGUUUAUUCUUACCAAUUUUAUAUCUGAUAGAUUCUUACUGUAAGGAAUUGCUGUUACAUGGCAAUGUAGAGCCAGGAGAUGCUUUAGGCUCCUGGAUGCUGCAGCCGCUCCACACGUUGUCCUGGCACUGCAGCGCCUCCAAGAGAAGUGCACUGUCA